UAUUAAAAAUUUCAUCCUUUGUACUAUUAAGGCAGUGAUGCUUGGCGUGCAAUAUCUACUUUAUGCUAACUUACAGAGACCAGUUUUUAACAGUAAAAAUUGAUGAAAUUUUUAACA
Molecule: non-coding RNA, 117 nt
Organism: Gossypium hirsutum (cotton)
Lineage: Eukaryota; Viridiplantae; Streptophyta; Magnoliopsida; Malvales; Malvaceae
Source: Rfam